This 2487-nucleotide ribosomal RNA is filed under the name Triticum aestivum (bread wheat). Its description in RNAcentral is "partial small subunit ribosomal RNA". Lineage: Eukaryota; Viridiplantae; Streptophyta; Magnoliopsida; Poales; Poaceae. The record is from RNAcentral.
AUGGACAUGGACGGUCCCGACGGCUGGGUCUGGGUGCGCCGGCCGGCGGAGGAGGAAGCGUGGCAGCCAUGGACGUCCGAGGAGCGGCCGCUCAAGGUGGUGUUCUCGUCGCCGGCCGAGUACUUCACGGACGCGGCGCCCAUCGGCAACGGCAGCCUCGGCGCCAUGGUUUGGGGCGGGGUCUCCUCCGACAAGCUCCAGCUUAACCAUGAUACGCUAUGGACCGGCGUGCCAGGGAACUACACUGACCCAAAGGGGCCGGGUGUUCUUGCCGAGGUGAGGCAAUUGGUCGACCAAGGAAGGUUCGCAGACGCCACGGCUUCAGCCAAGGGCCUUUUCGGUGGACAGUCCGAGGUAUACCAACCUCUUGGUGACUUAAACAUCGAGUUCAGCACCUCGGAUGGGGUGUAUGAUUCUUACAAAAGAGAGCUUGAUCUACAUACGGCGACUGCUCUGGUCACAUACAACAUCGGGGGAGUGCAGUACACUAGGGAGCACUUCUGCUCGAAUCCACAUCAAGUCAUCGUCACCAGGUUCUCAGCAAGCACACCAGGCCAUGUCUCCUGCACACUGUCCUUAAGCAGUCAGUUAAGCCACAGCGUCACUGUAACCAAUGAAAACGAGAUGAUCAUGGAAGGUAUAUGUCCAGGUCAGAGGCCUGCGAUGAGAGAAAACGGCGGCGAUAAUGCAACUGGCAUUAAGUUUACAGCUGCUCUGGGAUUGCAGAUGGGUGGGAGCGCGGCAAAAGUUACAGUGCAGAAUGACCAAAAGUUGAAGCUUGACAGUGCAGAUUGGGUUGUUUUCAUAGUUGCCGCUGCAUCCUCUUUUGAUGGGCCACUUGUUAAUCCUGCAGACUCUAAACUAGACCCCACAUCUCUAGCUCUCAGUACACUGAAUAACAGCAGGAACUUCACAUUUGAUCAACUUAAAGCAGCCCAUUUGGAUGAUUAUCAGAGCCUUUUUAACCGCGUGACCUUGCAACUUUCACGAGGAUUGAACGACGCAUGCUCUUUGGUGACUCGGAAAGAUAGACCAGAACAAGUUUCUGAAGACAUCAGGGCAUCAGCGGAUAGGGUGAAAAGUUUUAGUAGUGAUGAGGAUCCUUCUCUGGUUGAACUCUUAUUUCAGUAUGGUCGCUAUCUCCUCAUUUCCUGUUCUCGGCCUGGAACUCAGGUUUCUAAUCUGCAAGGAAUCUGGAGCCAAGAUAUUGCACCUGAGUGGGAUGCAGCUCCUCAUCUGAACAUAAAUCUACAGAUGAAUUACUGGCCAGCACUUCCUUGCAACCUUAGAGAAUGCCAAGAACCAUUAUUUGAUUUCCUGGGAUCACUUGCGGUUAACGGGACUGAAACAGCAAAAGUCAAUUACCAAGCAGGUGGAUGGGUAACACAUCAUGUGUCGGAUAUAUGGGCAAAAUCGUCGGCGUUCCUUAAGAAUCCAAAGCAUGCUGUGUGGCCUAUGGGUGGAGCCUGGCUUUGCACACACCUAUGGGAGCACUACCAGUUUUCAAUGGACAAAGACUUUUUGGAAAACACGGCAUAUCCAUUGCUGGAAGGCUGUGCCAACUUUCUGGUUGACUGGCUGAUUGAAGGACCUGGAGGUUAUCUGGAAACCAAUCCUUCAACUUCUCCGGAGCAUGCUUUCGUAGCUCCUGAUGGUAAGCCCGCAAGCGUGAGUUUCUCGACAACGAUGGACAUCUCAAUCAUCCGGGAGGUUUUCCUUGCAGUCCUUGAAUCUGCGGAGCUUCUCGGAAAAUCUGAUAUUGAUUUGGUUGAGAGAAUCAAGAAAGCGCUCCCAAGACUUCCUCCCAUACAAAUUGCAAGAGAUCGUACCGUGAUGGAAUGGGCACUGGAUUUUAAGGACCCAGAAGUCCAACAUAGGCACCUGUCGCAUCUCUUUGGACUUUACCCUGGACAUACUAUAGCCAUGGAUAAUGACCCUGAUGUUUGUGAAGCUGUUGCCAAUAGCCUUUAUAAAAGAGGUGAAGAUGGCCCCGGAUGGUCAACUACAUGGAAAAUGGCCUUGUGGGCGCGUCUUCUGAACAGUGAAAAUGCAUACAGGAUGGUUCUAAAGCUGAUCACCCUGGUUCCUCCUGGUGGUAAGGUUGAGUUUGAAGGAGGACUGUAUACCAAUCUGUGGACAGCACACCCACCAUUCCAAAUCGACGCAAACUUCGGAUUUGCAGCUGCCAUUGCCGAGAUGUUGAUCCAGAGCACACAGAGUGACCUCUACUUGCUCCCCGCUCUGCCGCGAGACAAGUGGCCCAUGGGCAGUGUCAAAGGGCUGAAGGCCCGCGGUGAUGUGACCGUCGACAUCCGCUGGAAGGAAGGGGAGCUCCAUGAAGCACUGCUAUGGUCGUCAAAUAAUCAAAAUUUAGUCGCAAGGCUGCAUUACGGCAAAGAGGUUGCCGCCGUGACGCUUCGCCAUGGUAUCGUUUACAAGUUUGGUAGCGGAUUGCGAUGUCUGGAAACAUGGCCACUCUCCAGAUGA